CGAAAAAUAUGCAGCUUGAAUGAGAAAAUAAAAAAUGCAAAAUAUGUCAAUGCUUCAUUACGUGAAGAGAUAUCAGAAGUUGAUUUGGUUCAAAGCCAUCUGGACAAGGAGCUUGAGUACUUCCUGUCAUUAGAGCGGAUAAUAAAUGAUACCUUUAGCUCUUCCCUGAAGGAGUCACUGCUGUUUACAAGUGAUCAGAUGCAGACAUUGAAGAGGAUGCUGGGAAAUAUUGGGAUGAAGUCACCCGAUGUUCCGUCAGGAACAGAGACAUAAUUCAGAGGAACUUGCCGCUGUCAAGAAGAUAAAACUGGAACAAAAAGCACAAUAAGAAGAGAAUAAUAAGGGAUGAGUGUAGGUAGUAGGUUGGGGUCAUAUUGAUUGUAGAUGUGUUUGAUGUGACUCAGUUGAAAAUAUUCCAAGCAUGAAUAAUGCCAAUGUACUGUAAACCGAGAGUAUUUUUGUAAUAUUGCAUCUUUGGCAUAGUUUUAAUUCAGCGUUUUGAGAACACUAUAACAGUAAUUGAGUUAAUGUUUGUUUUUUCGCGGCAUUUUAUUUUCGUGGAUCAAAAUCAAAACGCAUGCAAAAAUUUCCCGGUUGACAGUAUUAUGGCAUAACAGAGACGUUAUUGGCAGUUUCUUAUAACUCAAAUGACCCACCUAGCUCCUACUUAUUGUAUCCCUUUAAGGAUGAGCUGACAUUUCAACGUUUUGUAAUUUGAAAUUAUUAUAAACAGUACAAUAUAAAAUAUUACUGAAGAAAUCAUGGAGUUCGUAAUUCAUGCAAGCAGCCCGGCAUGGUAAAUUUGUACAGUGCCUAAUGUCGCCCCUGGUAAACAUGAAAGAAAUUCGCCAGCAUAAUUUUUUGGCAUCUGAUUUUUGCAGUGUUUGUUCUCAAUAUAUUUUUUGUCGGUCAUGCUCGCUUGGGCAUACUAGGUAGUACGUCAUUUUUCGCGGGUGACGAUGUAAUACCAGACGGAUAGCACAAAUUAUGAAUUCUUUGAUUUUAGCAGUGACAUUUUGUCUUGAAUUAAUUUGUAUUAUUAUAUGCGACCCAUCACUGCAAAACCAGGCGCAUGUCGCUCUGAGCUUGGCAGGUUGAGACCGACUGUUUGUUCAUUUCUCUAUUGUCUGCCUUUUGUGAAAUAUGAGCUCAUCAAUUUCUUCCAUUAUCUCCUGGUGUUAUUUAGGGUCAUCUUCUGCGAGACAUGCGCCUGGUUUUGCUGUGACGGUUCACAUAUGUCAAUUCAUCUUUAAAAAAUCAAUCAAGUUAAUUUUGCACAAUAAAGGCCUUUUUACCUACAUUGUAUGCUGCAUGCCAGCACAGGUGUGUCUCUGUCUCAGUUUUGGUCUACAUUUCAGCUCCACCCUCGCGGUGUGGGUGAGGCAGCCAAUACCUCCAGUUCUGUAUCAAUUCCUUAAACCAUGCCCUCAUUGUGUACUCGUAUGUUAGGUGACUGUUAUGUACCACUCAACAGAUAUCGUCUGGGUAUAAUAAAUCAUUUAUUAGACUAUACUCGGGUUUACAAACUGGCUCUUAGCGCCAUACUUACAGACUCCAUUACGAAAUUGUGCAGAACAUUAUUCACUACUAUCAUGACGGUAUACAGGGUGUGUCACAUAAAUGCCACAAGCACCACAUUCCUCCCUGCUAAUCCUAAGGUCAGUCCAAAUAGUCUCAUAACUAAAACUGAAGGUAAUUUAACUAGUAACCUGGUAGCAACUAAACAAAUGUGGACCUUAUUAAAACACUAGGUCAAAAACUAGAACAGAAGCUCAAACACGCACGAGCUCAAAAACCAAACUUAAGUGACUAUACAGUGUCACAUAUACCAUGUAAUGGAUGUGUCCAAAUGUCACAACCUAUUACUGUAAAGUGUCUCAUGAACCAUGCAUGUAAAUAACGCACACACAAGUACAGUGGAACCCCGGUAACACGACCACUCAUGUGACCGUGGUCGUGUUACCGGGGUGGUCGUGUUAGCGAGGUUGGGAAUCCCCAGACGAAAUACAUGAUUAUUUUUCCCGCCAAAAUUCAGUCCCGACUGCAUGGCGUGUGUACGCUGUACUACCAUAGCAACGCUGCCUGAUUGAGAUGAUGCACGCUCCAAAGUUUUGUUAUCAUGCCUCGCAAGAACAGUUCGUCGAUAAAAUUACAUGUUACAUUCUCAGAAUGAGUUAGAAAAGGUAAUUUUGUAACUCAUUUUAUCCACAAAGUUUCAUUAUCUGCCCGACGUGACGCAUUUGCGGGCAAUUUGGUGAAUCAUCCUCCAUGUACCCGACUGUUUGUGACGAUUGAAGUAAACUUGUCGUAUGAUUCCACGUGAAUGAUGAGUUGAGUAAUGCUACAGUUUUAAUCAAAUCUAUUUUCAGUCAAAAUAUUUAAAGAAAUAUAAAAUGAUACUGUAGUAAAUCAACCAAGUUCUCCAUAUCAUAAAACAUUCAAACGUCUCGCAAGCUUGUUAUUGUCAUAAGUAUGGUCUUCAAACUACCCGCCGUUUAUUAUAAGUUCAUAUGCAAAUCACGCAAAUCACAUGAUUUUGCUGCUGCUGAGUGCGCAUGUCUGGUACUGAACUGGCUCAGUAAUGAAAACAAACCAUGAAAACGUUAGAAAAGGAAAGUUUAUUUAUUCAUUUACACUUAUACAAUUGAUCAUACCUGCAAAAUCACAUUGUAUUUUUUGUUUUCAUAUGCAUUCCCAUGGCCAUUGUCCCCGUCUCAACAAAGCUUGGCAGCGAGGUGCUAAUUACUAUGCCGCGGUCGCGACCGAUUACGGUAAUUAGGCCUGGUGGUCGGGUUAGCGGGGUUGAUUUUCAGUUUGGGACCGGCCAAGCCAGUGGUCGCGGUCGGGGUACCGGGGUGGUCAUCUUAGCGGGGGUCUCUUAAUGGUAAUUAGAGAGGAAACCAUUCGGGACCGGAGAAUCGUGGUCGCGUUAGCGGGGUGGUCGCGUUACCGGGGUGGUCGCCAACCGGGGUUCCACUGUAAUGCUAGAAUGUCACUGAACCCAAAAGUGCAACAAAUGGGCACAGUCCUUCAACUAUGUUCAAUCAAACGCUCAGGUGGUUUUCUCGCAUGUGCAGAUCUCCUCGGAGCUGGGACUGGACUGGCAACAGCAGUGUUCUCAGGAACAGGCAAUGGAGCUGGUCCUACAGGAGGUUCCACAUGGCCUGGUGCCUGAACUGGAGCCGGACGCUCAGAUUGCACUAGAGGCAUGUCUGGCAUGUGAUCUGGUUAUUCCAGUGCUUCCAAUGUAAGUUCUCCACUGCGACGUAGGUGAUCCACGUGUACAAAUCUACGUCAGCCACCAACAUCCACAAUGUAUGACUGUGGUCCUUGAAUUUUGACCACACAACCUGGGAGCCAUUUCUCCCUUCCAUUUCGGAAGAUGCGCAUGCGCACAAUCUCAUUGAGGACAAAAGCCCUUGCCUUGACACCACAGUUGUGAUGAUUUUUCGCCAUCUUGUCUUGUUUUUCAGUUACAGUCUUGUUAAGAUCUGGAAGUAGUAAGGAGAUCAUGUUCUCAACAGACGUUUGAACACUUACUCAGCCGGGCUUAUCCCAGUCACAGUAUGGGGUGUAGUGCGAUAUUUUGAGGGGUACGACUUUGCUCAUGUCCUUUCUCCUCUACAAGAAAAUGCUUUUUGAACGCGGUCUUCGCUGAUUUCACGAUAUUCUCCGCUGCUGUUUGACUGGGGAUGAUACGGCGGUACCAACUUGUGCUGAAUUCCGUUUCUGCGCAUGAAAUCAGCAAAUUCACUCAGAGUGAACUGGGGCCCGUUAUCUGACCGUCACUAUUGACCUGAGUGUCAAUAUCCUGAUUUUCAACCACGUUUUAAUCGUAUCUGGCGUCUCCUCCCCCUGUGGAUGAGAACAGCCAAAGGCGAUACCAACUAUGUCCCCAUCACUGUCGCAAUCAGAGGCUUCAUCAGCCGGCGGUUUAAUCAAGUGAGUGGCGUGAGUACAACAGCGUUUCCUAGUGCAUAAAGGACUGGCAGUGUUUUGAUCAUCGUCAAUGAGAGGCAGGCCUGGGCAUGGCAAUAGCAAAUGCGAUGUAGAACCCUCUCUCUACCUGUGCCAUCCUCAGCUAAGACCCCGUAUACGGGCUGUCGUGAUUGUCGCCCUUUCGAGAGACAACAAUAUGUACCCUGUCUUCCCAGUGUGACCUGAGUUUACCAGGACCGCCACGCUGACUUAGGUUGCGUAGGAGGACACGAUCAUCAAUUUGUAAAGGCUGUCCAUACAUUUUUUUGUCAUACUGUUUCUUGCUGCGGGCGGUCGCAACCUUCAUAUGAGAUGAAGCUGUGUUGCAUAGCUGUUUGCCAGUUGGUAACAAAUGGUCGAUCCCCACCUGUGGCUCCUUCCAAUUCAUCCAUCUUGAUGAUAUGUCAACCUCUAGGGUACACACUACAUGCAGACACCAACCAGACCACUGCACUUGCUGUUAAUAUCGAGGACGAGGUUGGCCAUGAAUUUUAGCGUGCCGGUGCCUAUACAAUGACCUGUCUCUGAUUACUGGGCACCAGGUUAUAACAAUAAUGUCAACUACGGCCUACAUUCGUCCGGGCAUUAAAUGUCAUUACACAGUGAAAAUAAACUAGUUCAGACUCACAACGGAGUAUUGUUCAACCAACUGUCACUAUUGAAUCCUUACAUAGUCUAAAAUCAGUCCUGUACUUCCCAAAACGAAUAGAAAAACAUUGUUUUCUCAGUCUCGCUUCCCAGCACACACAAAGAAAGACCCACAGCAUUAACACGAUGACCGAAAUAGACAACUUCUGGUGCGCGGAACCUACACUUAGGUUGCUUGGCCACUUUGUGGUGCUUGUUCAACCGCUCCAAGAUAGUCUCCAAACGACUCAGAUGCUCAUCACGCUUCGUUCCCGUCAGAAUGUCAUCCAAAAUACACUUAACGCGGGGUAUAUUGACCAACACACAAUCCAUGACAGACUGGAAAAUAGAUGGCGCUAUUUUCACGCCAAAAGGCAGUCUCUGGACUUGGUAAAGACCCUGAUGAGUAUUUAUCAUACACAGCGGCUUCGACGCCUCAGUGACCUCCAAUUGUUGGUAUGCCUGGGUUAAAUCUAAUUUAGAGAACACCUCGCUACCAGCCAGCGUAGAGAACAAGUCAUCUGCCGUAGGUAAUGGAUAGAUAUUGGCCUCCAACGAUUUAUUGAUUGUCACUUCGAAGUCACCACUAAUUCGCAGUUCACCCGAUGCCUCGGGAACAACCACGAUUGGAAAAGCCCACUCGCUGUUUUCAACCUUUUUUAAAAUUCCCACCUCUGCCAACCUGUCGAGUUCAAGACCAACUCUAGACUUGAUGGAGUAUGGGACUGGCCUAGCCUUAUAAAAGAUCGGCGGUGCGCCUUCUUUCAGCUUCAAGUCUGCCUUGAACCCAGUAAUAGUACCUGUUUGCCCACCAAAUUCAGAAAGGUAACGCUGCUCAACCUGGGGUCAUCACUGAAUACAACAAAGAUAUGCUUCCAAUCAAGCUUGAUGACCUUGAGCCCAUUUCGGCCCAAUAGCGACACUUUUCAACCCUUUGCUACUACCAGGGCUAACUCAACUUAUUGCCCCUUAUAAAAAAGAGGUACACGAAUUUCUCAGACCACAGGGAUCUGAUCUCCUGAAUAACUUUUUAAUGAAUUUCAAUUUCCUGAAUAGGCACUGAUGCAAAUUGCGAUUGAUACAUUUCAUGCGGUAUUACGGGUACCGCUGUGGCAGUGUCCACGACAAAGGACACUGAUUUAUCGCACACCUGCACAUCAACCUUAAUCUCAGAUCUUUCUGUGGAAGAAUGAACAGCAUACAACGCUUCCGAAUCUGAAUCCGAAUCCUGCGUUUCUACAUAAUACGAUCAUUGUUUCCUUUCCCUUCCUUUAGCGCCACCUUUUGGAGCCGAUUGCUCCUCCUUGGUUCCUUUUUUCGAUCGACAAAACUUUUCGAAGUGAUCAGCUUUCCCGCAUUUACGACACUCCUGCCCCCGUGCGGGGCAAUCUGGGUCACGUCCAAAGUGACCUUGACGACCAGACCGAAAACAACUGCCACCCUUAGCACCGCCUUUUUGAAAUCGACUUUUGUCCUUUUUCACACCUUGGCCUACUUUAGUGACACGAUUCACACUUUCGGAUUUUUCCAGAACCCAUUGACUCUAGCUGAUACUCGACAGCCUCCAAGGCACGUGAGGUUUGAAAUAGUCUCUCCAGCGUCAAAUCCUCUUUUUCUAAUAAUUUUCUCCUCAGCUUAUUUGACAGGCAUUUUUCGAUAACUUGGUCUCUUAUGUCCACCUCCUCAUUAUCAAAAUUGCAGUACCUGGCCUGCUUUUUUAGUCUCGCAACGAAUUUAUCCACCAUCUCACCGUCCUUUUGGGCCAUCGCCCUGAACACAUGCCAUUCGUAGGGUUCGUUGAUCUUCCCCACGAAGUGGCGGUUCAAUGUACGCGUUGCCUUUACAUAGGCAUUUGCACGGUCUGGAAUUGGGUUGCCAUCAGCAUCCACUUCAAUGUGGUGGGCCCAGGGUCGACCAAUGUUUCAAAGUGUUCCUUGACCUCUGGGCCAUUGCAGUGCUGGGUUAAGGCCUUUUUCUGUGGGGCCGCAACGACGGCCUUGGCCACGACAAAAUAUUCGAAUGAUUUCCGCCAUCUUUCCCAGCGGGGACUGACGGCCGCGGCAUUUCCUGCCAAAUCAAACCUUUCAACGGCUAAUAACUCGCUUGAAGACAACGCCAUGGCUCGAACUCACUUAGUGACAGUUCGCCUUCCUCGUCGCCAAUGUUAUUUACCACUCACCAGAUAUCCUCUGGGUAUAAUAACUUAUUUAUUAGACCAUACUCGGGUUUACAAACUGGCUCUUAGCGCCAUGCUACAGACCCCAUUACGAAAUUGUGCAGAACAUUAUCCGCGACGAUCAUGACGGUAUACAGGGUGUGUCAUAUAAAUGCCACAAACACAACAGUGACCAUUUCCAAUCCUUAUGUCAGUGAAUUUUCUGCGUUAAAGUAUAGACCCCACCAGAGUGUCAUUCGAAAUUUAGAGUUGAGGUUUUUUUUAUUGUGUAAAGACAAUGUCAACACAAAUAUAGAUAUACUGAACAGGUCAAAUUUCUUCACGUUGACACAUCUGUUAACUGACUGUACAGCAGCAAGGUUUAUUUCUAUUCACUUGAAUCACAAGUAAAUACAAUAAAUAAGAACAUCAUAGGCCUUACACUCUUUCAGUGACCAGAUUUUGGGCAUUUUAGGCCAUAUAAAGCACAUUAAAGUGGCUGGGGGCAUCUUGUGUCAUCUGUAGGAACUAAGACACAAAAAUUCAGGUCGUACAUGUAUAAUAUUGGCACUGAAAGAGUUAAGCAGGUCCGUUACGUCACACUCCCAGUUUUUUUUUCCCGGGUAUAAACUCCACCCGAGUAUUACAAUGCUUGAAUUUUAAGUGUAUUUCAUACAAGACAACUCAAUUACAUUAAAAGACUUAAGGAUUUUUGGGCACCAAUCGUAUUCAUUUUAUCACUUAUUCAUCUGUAAUAAUUUCAUGCACAUGUCUACAAAAGAAAGGGUUUUGCGUUCAAAUAGAAAUUCAGGAUGUAAAAAUGUACAGAAGAAUUUUGCCAUAAUAGACACCUGUUUCGUCAAAAAACAGGCUUGACGUAAUCAAUAAUCACUGCCUGACUCUAUCUGAGGAUUUACUCCACUAUACAGCAGAACCUCUCCAAUAAGGACACCCUCUGGACUGUUGGACUGACAAGUGCUGUCCUUGAUAUGGAGAGAUGUCCUGAUUAGAGAGGUCAAAUUGAAUGAAAACAACCAAUUUGGGACUUAAACUAGUGUCCUUAAUAGAGAGGGUGUACUUAAAUAUAGAGGUGUCCACUAAAGGAGGUUCUACUGUGUAUGGUUUGUGUAAGUUGCAUAGCAAUAGAGGGAAGUCUAAUGUGACUGCUACAUACAGCUUAUUAGAACUGGAUUCAACAUUUCGGGCCGAAUUUACGAAGGGUGUUUAAGAGUUAGACGCGUGUAAAUUCUACAUAAUCAGUUUCAGGGCCUAAUGCGGUUUUCAUGAAGAAACCCUGCAAGGCCCUGACUCUGUCUAUUCAGACAUUAAACGCUGUUUUAAGCUAAACACCCUUUGUAAAUUCGGCCCUUCAUCUUUGUACACAACUGUUGGAAACAUUGUAUUUAUUUUGUUAAAAAUA
This is a long non-coding RNA of Lineus longissimus, 8180 nucleotides long. RefSeq lists it as uncharacterized. The record is from RefSeq and is a predicted model, not a curated record. The transcript has 3 exons. Lineage: Eukaryota; Metazoa; Nemertea; Pilidiophora; Heteronemertea; Lineidae.